CACAGAGCUAAUACUGAAUCGCGUCUUGCAGAUAUUUCUUAAAACAUAUUUGUAGCCGUUUUCAGCUCCCCCAAAUUCAACAGAAACUCAACCAAAGAAUUUCUCCUUGAUGAAAAAUGGAUACCUGGAAAAUCCAGCUUGUCCUUAUGGCUUUCUGUGCUUUGGUGCGAACCUAUCAGGGACUGUCAGGUAGUGAAGAAGAGAAGAGAGGGUUAUCCAAAGACUGGCAGGAUGAGUCACUGGAGACUGGUCUGAUUAACCCAGUGGACAGUCUGAUUAAAAGAUCUAAAGCCCUUCGCUUCUAUGGACUUAUGGGGAAACGAUCAGGUUGUCUCGAACAGCAUCCCUGUAUAUAAACAUGAUAGGAGCAUCGUUUUUGUGUGGGCAUGUGUACAAUUUAAAUUUUUCCACAUGUUCGUGGUAAUAAGUGUUCGUAACUUGCUUUUUCCUUUACAGGAAAUAAAGGAGAGACAUUUGGGGGUUUAAUGGGAAGAAGCACCUCCAGUGGUGAAUCUUUAACCAGAAUAAUUCCAUCCGGAACAACCACCACGGUCCAUCGUUCAGAGAAACCACACAAGCACGGUUCCCCGGAAAAAUGGAUCCAAAUCUUCUAUUGAUGGAGCGAAACAAAAAUACACAUCAUCAUGAUCUAUACAAUUUCACACCAACCAAAGACGUUACCAUAAAUCAUACUCCUAAAAAAUACACCCUGCUUAUAGUUUCAAUUCAUGCUAACAAAUAUUGGAAUAAUCCCAAACAAGAACAGGUACCAUCUUCAAAAUGCACAUUGCUUGUAAGAAAUAAAAAAUAACCUGUAAUUGCUGCCAAAUAUCGGUAUGUAUUUUUUGCACGAGCAAAGCAAAACAUUCAUUGUAUCCACCACACUGGACUGUUUAUCGUUUAACAUUCAGAGCUAAGUAGACGUAGGCAGUUUUCAACGAGUAGGACAAACUCUCUACUAUUAACUGUUGGAGUUAAAUCAACCGACUUGGAACGUAUGACGCUUCACAUAUAAAUGAAAGUAAAAUAUAAAAGUAAAAAAAAAAAA
This is an RNA transcript of Acanthochromis polyacanthus (spiny chromis), 1048 nucleotides long. RefSeq lists it as uncharacterized. The transcript has 5 exons. NCBI's taxonomy places the organism in Eukaryota, Metazoa, Chordata, Actinopteri, Pomacentridae. The record is from RefSeq and is a predicted model, not a curated record.